RNAcentral lists this transfer RNA (72 nucleotides) under Apiotrichum porosum. Its description in RNAcentral is "Trichosporon porosum tRNA". It matches the Rfam family "tRNA". From Rfam's summary of the family: Transfer RNA (tRNA) molecules are approximately 80 nucleotides in length. Their secondary structure includes four short double-helical elements and three loops (D, anti-codon, and T loops). Further hydrogen bonds mediate the characteristic L-shaped molecular structure. tRNAs have two regions of fundamental functional importance: the anti-codon, which is responsible for specific mRNA codon recognition, and the 3' end, to which the tRNAs corresponding amino acid is attached (by aminoacyl-tRNA synthetases). tRNAs cope with the degeneracy of the genetic code in two manners: having more than one tRNA (with a specific anti-codon) for a particular amino acid; and 'wobble' base-pairing, i.e. permitting non-standard base-pairing at the 3rd anti-codon position. The record is from Rfam by way of RNAcentral. Lineage: Eukaryota; Fungi; Basidiomycota; Tremellomycetes; Trichosporonales; Trichosporonaceae.
AUGGAUAUCGUAUAGUGGUUAUUACUCCCGACUUCCAAUCGGAAAACACCAGUUCGAGUCUGGUUAUCCAUA